AGAGCGGGUGAGAUGAUCGCUCCCCGGCAACGGGGGGAGGAAAGUCCGAGCUCCGCAGGGCAAGGCGGUCCCGAAACGGGACAGGGGGCGACCCCAUGGACAGUGCCACAGAAAAGAAGACCGCCCCGGAUCUCCGGGGCAAGGGUGAAACGGUGAGGUAAGAGCUCACCAGNNCCAUCCGUCCCGGCUCCACAACGAACGACACGGCCCCAGCUUCUCCUUGCCUUUUCUCCGAAUUUAUACUAUGUUUUCCCGGUAAGCCUUUCCGACGGACCUAUUCGCAUGGCCCGGCAUAUGAGAUGAUCCCAUGCCCCGUAUCUUCGACAACAUAGACCAGGACCUGCUUGGCGC
RNAcentral lists this RNase P RNA (351 nucleotides) under Nitrospiraceae bacterium. Its description in RNAcentral is "RNase P RNA component class A". It matches the Rfam family "Bacterial RNase P class A", at positions 1 to 202 of the family's 367-position model. From Rfam's summary of the family: Ribonuclease P (RNase P) is a ubiquitous endoribonuclease, found in archaea, bacteria and eukarya as well as chloroplasts and mitochondria. Its best characterised activity is the generation of mature 5'-ends of tRNAs by cleaving the 5'-leader elements of precursor-tRNAs. The record is from RNAcentral. Lineage: Bacteria; Pseudomonadati; Nitrospirota; Nitrospiria; Nitrospirales; Nitrospiraceae.